CCUACGGGCGGCAGCAGUGGGGAAUAUUGGACAAUGGGCGAAAGCCUGAUCCAGCCAUGCCGCGUGUGUGAAGAAGGCCUUCGGGUUGUAAAGCACUUUCAGUGGGGAAGAAAGCCUUGGGGCUAAUACCCUCGAGGAAGGACAUCACCCACAGAAGAAGCACCGGCUAACUCCGUGCCAGCAGCCGCGGUAAUACGGAGGGUGCGAGCGUUAAUCGGAAUUACUGGGCGUAAAGCGCGCGUAGGCGGUCUGAUAAGCCGGUUGUGAAAGCCCCGGGCUCAACCUGGGAACGGCAUCCGGAACUGGCAGGCCAGAGUGCAGGAGAGGAAGGUAGAAUUCCCGGGGUAGCGGUGAAAUGCGUAGAGAUCGGGAGGAAUACCAGUGGCGAAGGCGGCCUUCUGGACUGACACUGCCGCUGAGGUGCGAAAGCGUGGGUAGCAAACAGGAUUAGAUACCCUAGUAGUC
This 465-nucleotide ribosomal RNA is filed under the name Vreelandella stevensii. Its description in RNAcentral is "partial 16S ribosomal RNA". It matches the Rfam family "Bacterial small subunit ribosomal RNA", at positions 338 to 795 of the family's 1533-position model. The record is from RNAcentral. Lineage: Bacteria; Pseudomonadati; Pseudomonadota; Gammaproteobacteria; Oceanospirillales; Halomonadaceae.